This 578-nucleotide ribosomal RNA is filed under the name Pycnora xanthococca. RNAcentral's name for it is "eukaryotic LSU rRNA". It matches the Rfam family "Eukaryotic large subunit ribosomal RNA", at positions 65 to 658 of the family's 3401-position model. The record is from RNAcentral. Lineage: Eukaryota; Fungi; Ascomycota; Candelariomycetes; Candelariales; Pycnoraceae.
CCAACAGGGAUUGCCUCAGUAACGGCGAGUGAAGCGGCAACAGCUCAAAUUUGAAAUCUGGCUCUCUCAGGGUCCGAGUUGUAAUUUGUAGAGGAAGCUUCGGGUUCGGCUCCGGUCUAAGUUCCUUGGAACAGGACGUCAUAGAGGGUGAGAAUCCCGUAUGUGACUGGAAGUCAUGCUCAUGUGAAGCUCCUUCGACGAGUCGAGUUGUUUGGGAAUGCAGCUCAAAAUGGGUGGUAAAUUUCAUCUAAAGCUAAAUACCGGCCAGAGACCGAUAGCGCACAAGUAGAGUGAUCGAAAGAUGAAAAGCACUUUGGAAAGAGAGUUAAAAAGUACGUGAAAUUGUUGAAAGGGAAGCGCUUGCAAUCAGACUUGCCCGCGGUUGAUCAGCCGAUGUUCUCACCGGUGCACUCUUCCGUGGUCAGGCCAGCAUCGGUUUGGGCGACUGGAUAAAGGCUCUAGGAAUGUAGCUUCCCUCGGGGAGUGUUAUAGCCUAGGGUGCAAUGCAGCCAGCCUGGACCGAGGACCGCGCUUCGGCUAGGAUGCUGGCGUAAUGGUUGUAAGCGACCCGUCUUGAA